RNAcentral lists this non-coding RNA (28 nucleotides) under Mus musculus (house mouse). Lineage: Eukaryota; Metazoa; Chordata; Mammalia; Rodentia; Muridae. The record is from RNAcentral.
GAGCACACAGCAUCCAUACUAGUCAAAG